GUCCCAGCAAGCUGGGAGGAUUGCUUGAGCUCUGGUGGUCGAGGCUGCAGUGAGCUAUGACUGCACUACUGCACUCCACCCUGGGUGACAGAGCAAGACCCUGUCUCUCACAAAAGAAAAAAGUACAGUCUAUACCUGCAUAUUCCUACAGUUUCUUAGAGUCUUUUGGACAAUGACUGGGGAGACAAUUAUGCAAGAAACAUGU
This 205-nucleotide small nucleolar RNA is filed under the name Carlito syrichta (Philippine tarsier). RNAcentral describes it as "Small nucleolar RNA SNORA73 family (ENSTSYG00000024430.2)". Lineage: Eukaryota; Metazoa; Chordata; Mammalia; Primates; Tarsiidae. The record is from RNAcentral.